RNAcentral lists this transfer RNA (67 nucleotides) under Nesotrochis steganinos (Haitian cave-rail). RNAcentral's name for it is "tRNA-Cys". The record is from RNAcentral. Lineage: Eukaryota; Metazoa; Chordata; Aves; Gruiformes; Rallidae.
GACCCUGUGGUGAAAUUCAUGUUGAGUUGCAAGCUCAUUGAUGUGCAUUAAUAGUGUACCGGGGUCU